Molecule: long non-coding RNA, 1390 nt
Filed under: Homo sapiens (human)
Lineage: Eukaryota; Metazoa; Chordata; Mammalia; Primates; Hominidae
Description: myocardial infarction associated transcript
Source: RNAcentral
GUGGGGGUGGGCAGGCUGGAGUAGACAGGAACCACGAGAGGCAGGGAGGACUGUACAGGGGUUGCUGACCAGGUGGAAGAUGAUGGGAGCCUCAGAAGGUGUCGUGGGACAGGGUCAGGGAGAGGGCUCUAUGCGGCCAGGAUCUGGAUGCAGAUUGUUGAGACUGAAAUUUGGCUCAGAUCCCUUCUAGUUGUGUCUGUUUAUCUUCAGUUUCCUUGUCUAUAAAAUGGGGAGAGAUUGUGUGUCCCCGGCAUCACUGGACUGUUAAUAGCUAUUGCAUUUAUAGCAUUUAUCCCAGAACCUGAAACACAGUAAAUGCUCAGUAAGUGUUAUUAUUUGCCCCAAACUGUCUUAGUGCUUUCCCCAAGAGCUUUGUGUUGUUUGUACUAUGAGGAAUAAUGAGGGUGGUGUGGGAGUCGGCCUCUGUGUCUGCAGAGAGGACCACAGGCCACAGGAAUAGAGACAGGUAGAUAGGAUCAAGGUGACAGGAACAGAUGUUCAGAGCAAGAGAUGAAGACGGCAUCAUCAACCCAGACAAGCCAGUUGGAGGCAUCUGUCCACCCAUGUGGUUCCAGACACGUUCAUGUGGCCACCAUGACCCCGUCGGCAUCACAGGGGUAACCAAGGUCCACAGAACGAGGGGAAAGGGUCACUGUGGAUCAAGCCAGGCUCCUCUGAGCAGUCCAGGGUCUAUUUACAGAGAGCAGCAAGUUCCUGGGACAGAGGAGACAGAAGGGAAUUUCCAGGUUCUUCAGGACGUUCACAACCACACUGAGAAGCAUCUUUGCAGAUAAGUAUUUAAACUUACCAGCCCAUAGCCUACCAGCCUGCCCUCUUCUGGUCUGUGCAGGAAAGUGUAGUAUCCUAGAAUGCCAAAGUGGGAGGGGAAAUGGGUGAUGUAGCUCAUUCUCUUUUCUACCUCUAUGGAAGAAAGAAAGAGCCUGUCCCCAUUUUGUGGGGUCCCAGAAAGGGUGAUUUUCACACUUCACAUUUGGCGUUAGGGCUAGUAUUUCACAAACAUUACCGUCUGGAACUUUUGAAGGCUGAGUUAAAUGACUUCAUCUUGUGUACUUGUAGAACUGCUAUUAGAAGGAGGCUGGGGACUCCCUGAUGAUGUGAACCAGCCCUUCUCUUCUCAGUUUCAGCACUUUGUGAUCAUAUUUAUAAACCUUGGACAGGGCUCCUUGGCCUUAGAGUUAAGUGAAGAGUUAACACUGUGACUUUAGAUGCAUUUUUCUCAGUGUAAGUGUCUGAGCUCAUCUCCAGUUCUGGACUCGUGCCCCCACUCCCGGGUGCUGACAGCAAGCUCUGAAGAUAUGCUGAGAGAGCUCCCUGACUCUCCUGACUCAGGUCUGCCAGUUGAUGAAGACAGCACAGUUGUUACCAAAAA